CCUACGGGAGGCAGCAGUGAGGAAUAUUGGUCAAUGGCCGAGAGUCUGAACCAGCCAAGUAGCGUGAAGGAAGACUGAUCUAUGGUUUGUAAACUUCUUUUAUAUGGGAAUAAAGUGAUCCACGUGUGGAUUUUUGUAUGUACCAUAUGAAUAAGCAUCGGCUAACUCCGUGCCAGCAGCCGCGGUAAUACGGAGGAUGCGAGCGUUAUCCGGAUUUAUUGGGUUUAAAGGGUGCGUAGGUUGUUUGUUAAGUCAGUUGUGAAAGUUUGCGGCUCAACCAUAAAAUUGCCGUUGAAACUGGCAGUCUUGAGUACAGUAGAGGUGGGCGGAAUGCGUGGUGUAGCGGUGAAAUGCUUAGAUAUCACGAAGAACUCCGAUUGCGAAGGCAGUUCACUGGACUACAACUGACACUGAGGCACGAAAGUGUGGGUAUCAAACAGGAUUAGAUACCCUGGUAGUC
RNAcentral lists this ribosomal RNA (460 nucleotides) under uncultured bacterium. Its description in RNAcentral is "partial 16S ribosomal RNA". It matches the Rfam family "Bacterial small subunit ribosomal RNA", at positions 338 to 795 of the family's 1533-position model. The record is from RNAcentral.